AUUGAACGCUGGCGGCAGGCCUAACACAUGCAAGUCGAGCGGAUGAAGGGAGCUUGCUCCUGGAUUCAGCGGCGGACGGGUGAGUAAUGCCUAGGAAUCUGCCUGGUAGUGGGGGAUAACGUCCGGAAACGGGCGCUAAUACCGCAUACGUCCUGAGGGAGAAAGUGGGGGAUCUUCGGACCUCACGCUAUCAGAUGAGCCUAGGUCGGAUUAGCUAGUUGGUGGGGUAAAGGCCUACCAAGGCGACGAUCCGUAACUGGUCUGAGAGGAUGAUCAGUCACACUGGAACUGAGACACGGUCCAGACUCCUACGGGAGGCAGCAGUGGGGAAUAUUGGACAAUGGGCGAAAGCCUGAUCCAGCCAUGCCGCGUGUGUGAAGAAGGUCUUCGGAUUGUAAAGAACUUUAAGUUGGGAGGAAGGGAAGUAAGUUAAUACCUUGCUGUUUUGACGUUACCAACAGAAUAAGAACCGGCUAACUUCGUG
Molecule: ribosomal RNA, 484 nt
Filed under: uncultured bacterium
Lineage: Bacteria
Description: partial 16S ribosomal RNA
Rfam family: Bacterial small subunit ribosomal RNA
Source: RNAcentral